Non-coding RNA from Lactuca sativa (garden lettuce), 1234 nucleotides. Lineage: Eukaryota; Viridiplantae; Streptophyta; Magnoliopsida; Asterales; Asteraceae. The record is from RefSeq and is a predicted model, not a curated record.
UUACAUAUAGGAUCACUACUAGAAAAUAACCCUUUAAUGACACGCAAAACAUGACACACACAUAUCUAUGAUACGGAAAAGUGUGCGGCCUAAAAAUAAUGUCAUUUCUCUCAAAUUUUGAAGGAUAUAGGACGCACAUUUUUGUGCGCCUAAAAUAAAUGUCAUAAAAAGAAAAAAAAACACGGAGGGCACCUAACAAAUAUGUGUGUCGUAUAGAGGCGUUGCUUUAUAAUUUUUUUAGAAAAGGCGCGUCCAUUAUUUUUUCUAGCAAACUAGGGCUUUUUUCACAGAUAACUUACCACCCCUUCCACAAUGCUUUGCAAUCGAAGACUUGAUUAUCCUUUCCUCACUUCGUUGGCAAGCUCCGUCUCACCUCAUCUCAUCGGGGACCUCAGGCUCACAUCUCAUCACCGACCAUUGCGACUCCUCAACACAGAUGAUUGGACCUCUUCUUGCUUCACAACCCUCAUCUCACAACUUUAAUUUGAAAAAAAAAAUGAAGGAAUUAGUAGCUUUUCAAGAACAAAUUGCAUAUGAAAGUUUUUUCCAGCUUUCACGUGUUAGCGUCAAGCCUGUUGGCAAUACAAUGUGGAGUACCCUCUUUCAUCAAUUCUUGAUAGUGAUAUCACGUGAGAAUUUUUUUUAUUGUUGUUCUUUCUAGGGUUUUCUCCUCUUUCUAUGCUUUUUUAUUGUUGCUCUUCCUAGGGUUUAUCGAUGUCGUCGAGACCUAACACCAACACAGAGGUUCACCAGGAAAGGGUAGAAGAUGAUGUAGAUAUUCAUAAGAAUUAGGGAGAAGAAAUAUUACAGAAAAAGAGACGUGAUGCAUGCACUGCGAGCCAGUUCACCAUGCUCGUUCAGUCCGCUUGCGCCGCCGAAAAGAAGUGCAAAGAUACGAUUCUACAUAGAGCAACCAAUCAUUGUGCUUAAGUUGUUCAGUUGGUUUCACUUUGAAGAAAGAUCAGGUGGUUUCAGUGCAAGAUAUGAUCCAGUGGUUUCACUUUGAAAUGGGAGAAAAGCUUCAAAGAAGGAAGUCUUGUUUGUGUGAGAGUCUUUGGAUUCCGACUCUUGGAGGGCCUUGCUACUGGUGUUUUAAAGGUAAAGUCCAUUUCACAGAGUUUCAAGAUCCAUGGGUACCAAAUCCUUUAUCUGGAUACCAUGAAGGGCAAUUUGUGAAAUGCAAAGUUGUGGAAAUUGGUCAUUCUGGAACAGGAGCUGUUCAUGUUGAUCUCUU